RNAcentral lists this ribosomal RNA (424 nucleotides) under Solenaia carinata. Its description in RNAcentral is "partial 28S ribosomal RNA". Lineage: Eukaryota; Metazoa; Mollusca; Bivalvia; Unionida; Unionidae. The record is from RNAcentral.
UGGACCGCAUGACGUCGACCCGGGGGAUUCAACCAGGCCGUUGCGAUCGGGACGCGUGGGGGUUAUGCGGAGCUGUAAAGCCCGUGCCUCUGCGUGGGUCUCCGGGCGGACUGGUGCACUUUCCUCGGGUUGAUUGCCACGACCGGCUCUCCGUGCGGCCACAAGCCUGUUGCUGGGAAGGUGACCGUGGGCCCCGCGCCCGCGGUGUUACAGCCCAGCUUGUUCGUUGAGCUCGUCGGAGGGCCGAGGAAGUUGCCGUUUCUCAGCCACCCUCUGGCCAUCCUUGCUCGUCACGACUGGGGUGAACUGCUUCGUCAGUGCUCUCCCGACCGCGAGCGUAGGAAGGGCUGGUACGGUGCGAGAAUUGCUUCGGGCCAGUGGCGAAUCGGUCGGUCCUCCACCCGACCCGUCUUGAAACACGGAC